This 399-nucleotide RNase P RNA is filed under the name Candidatus Hatepunaea meridiana. Its description in RNAcentral is "RNase P RNA component class A". It matches the Rfam family "Bacterial RNase P class A". From Rfam's summary of the family: Ribonuclease P (RNase P) is a ubiquitous endoribonuclease, found in archaea, bacteria and eukarya as well as chloroplasts and mitochondria. Its best characterised activity is the generation of mature 5'-ends of tRNAs by cleaving the 5'-leader elements of precursor-tRNAs. Lineage: Bacteria; Pseudomonadati; Candidatus Electryoneota; Candidatus Electryoneia; Candidatus Hatepunaeales; Candidatus Hatepunaeaceae. The record is from RNAcentral.
GGAGUUGUCCGAGCGGUCGCGUCUGCUGGUUCAAGUAGAUGAGGAAAGUCCGAACUCCACAGGACAAGGUGCUCGUUAACAGCGAGGUGUCGCGAGACAAUGGAAAGCGCCACAGAAAACAUACCGUCCCAACCAGAUGGAUAAGUAGUUAUCACGAUCUAUUGGGAUAAGGGUGAAAAAGUGAGGCAAGAGCUCACUGGCAUUCGCUGCAAAGCGGAUGAUCGGCAAGCCCCACCUGGUGCAAGACCAAGCAAUAGGCAUUUAGCGAGUGUUAUCUCACUAAAGCGAAAUGGUCCGUUUCGAACUGCCUAUGGGUAGGUCGCUUGACGUUAAUGGCAACAUUAACGCUAGAUAGAUGACCGCAUAGAACAGAAUUCGGCUUACUGGAUAACUCUCUCU